Molecule: long non-coding RNA, 623 nt
Organism: Suricata suricatta (meerkat)
Lineage: Eukaryota; Metazoa; Chordata; Mammalia; Carnivora; Herpestidae
Exons: 4
Source: RefSeq, a predicted model, not a curated record
UCCUGCCCCACCAGGACGGCUCCCGUCUCCGCCCUCGGCACUGCAUUGCUUCUACUGUCCUGCUCUCAGCUCUAGUUUACCCGAACGUGGACACAAAGACCCAUAGUUGGACUUUUAUUUUGGGUUCUGUGGCCCGGAAGCACGGAGGGAUAGCUGUGCUAGUGGAGGCAGGCACGGGAAGCGCAGUCCCGGAAGCUGCCCCGCCCCCUGGCGUCGGCUCCUACGCACUACAAUUCCCAGCUUGCUAUUCGAGCAAGCUCGGAGGCGGAACCCGAGUGUCGUCAUAGCAACUGAAUCAUCUCCCUCUCAGAGACUUCUCAAGCUACUCUGUUCGGCCGCUAUACAUACGCUAUGUCUCAUCCUCACUACAAUUCCACGAGAUUAUCCCCCUUUUUAGAGAUAAAAUGCACUUCAAAAUAUCACUUGCCAAAAUUUCUGAAUUCUAAAUAAGCUUUUCACUGAAACCUUACUACAACAUGGAGGAGUAGACUUGAUGCAGCACGGAUAUGAGGACCUGACCUUCAGAGUGACUCUCCACAUCACGUGGCCACAUUACGGGGGGAAAACCCUUUCCCAUUUAAUAUUUGUGCAUGCAAUUUUGAAUAAUAAAACUAUGAGAGAUA